Molecule: ribosomal RNA, 484 nt
Filed under: uncultured bacterium
Lineage: Bacteria
Description: partial 16S ribosomal RNA
Rfam family: Bacterial small subunit ribosomal RNA
Source: RNAcentral
AUUGAACGCUGGCGGCAGGCCUAACACAUGCAAGUCGAGCGGAUGAAGGGAGCUUGCUCCUGGAUUCAGCGGCGGACGGGUGAGUAAUGCCUAGGAAUCUGCCUGGUAGUGGGGGAUAACGUCCGGAAACGGGCGCUAAUACCGCAUACGUCCUGAGGGAGAAAGUGGGGGAUCUUCGGACCUCACGCUAUCAGAUGAGCCUAGGUCGGAUUAGCUAGUUGGUGGGGUAAAGGCCUACCAAGGCGACGAUCCAUAACUGGUCUGAGAGGAUGAUCAGUCACACUGGAACUGAGACACAGUCCAGACUCCUACGGGAGGCAGCAGUGGGGAAUAUUGGACAAUGGGCCAAAUCCUGAUCCAGCCAUGCCGCGUGUGUGAAGAAGGUCUUCGGAUUGUAAAGCACUUUAAGUUGGGAGGAAGGGCAGUAAGUUAAUACCUUGCUGUUUUGACGUUACCAACAGAAUAAGCACCGGCUAACUUCGUG